UCCUCCAUGCCCACUUCCGUCCCUUUUAUCAAAAUCCAUUCAAUCUACCAAAGCUCAAAGCUUUCUUCAUCUUCAACUUUCUCACACUCACACGUUGCUGCAAUUCUAAGGGAUCGAAGUGGAAAUAAGAGUUCGAGCAUUUAUCUUUGCUCUCUUCUAUCAUUUGGUGGAAAGAGGAUGUAAGAGACUAUUAGUCACUUGCCCAUUGGUUUUAUGUGUUUCACCGCAACAAAGCAUCUGGAAAUUUCUCUAUCAUCAUCUUUAUUUCUGUUUGCCCUGCAAUUCUAGUCAGUUUCUUCAUUUUUUUCUCUGUCGAAUGUACAAUUUUCUUUAUUCUUUGCUCAUCACUGUACAAGACUGUUGGUAAUGAGUAUUUGUUAGUAUUUCCACCCCAAUUUAUUCAUGCAUACUUAGUAUUUUUCUGAUUACUCAUUUAGUCUGAUUUUUACUUGUUGGAGUUCUAAACUCCAUUCUUCUCUCUUGAGCCAAUUAUACUUUCUCUUAUCACAUUCAAUCAUUUAAGACACUCUAAAUUCUGAUAUACUGCUUUCUUGAGUGUUUUAUGUUGCCACUUUUUGCAAGCUUAUUGCGUCAAAUUUGUUUCAUUUUUAUGAGAUAAGCUGUUAUUAGUUUGUAGAUAUGGAGCCUCCUAAAAUGAUCUACUAAAUUCAUCGAGUUGUCCCAAGGGAUCAAAACAGACAAUUAUUAAUGGAAUUCUUCUCCGCUAUUAGGUUUCAUUACUUUAGUUUGCUUUGCAACUCUUUUUCUAUUAUGAUUACUCAAAGAAAAUUAAGUAUCAAUAUGUUACCCUUUCCUGUUGCUUCUAUUGUUCGGAAUCCUCAAGUUUGUUGUAUUAUUUUUUUGCGGAUUGCCAUAUCCUAGACUACAAUGUGUGUUCUUGACUAUUAGUAGUUGAUUUAAAAAAAAUUAUAAUUACCUCAAGGUCUUUGUUGAUUUUUUGUACAGAUGGAGUUUCCCAAAGGAAAACCCUUUUGGAUAGCCUCAAAGCUCUUGUGUAAAUCCCUCAAAUGACUCCAUUAUUGAUAUUGGUAUUGAUAUUUAUUAAUUCUGAGUCAAUCAUACAUGGGUCGUUCAUGUGUGCAGUUUUUCUUUCAUCCCCUCCUUAACUCUUAAUUUCAAAAUUUUCAUCCAUUUACUAGAACAUGGUUCCGGACCUUUCUGCUUGGCCCUCUUUCAAUUUGGAUCAUUCAAAUUUGUGAUUUAUGUUAAUGGCGGUCUUCAUGUAUUAUGUUCUGUUUGGAUAGAGUCAGGGCCUCUAUCUAAUAUAUUAGUGUGUAUUAUGUUUAUAAAUGUGUACUUUCUUUCCUCAUAUAAUUUAUUCCUCUCAUUUGUUUGUUUAUAGAUGUGUACUUUCUUUUCUCCAUCAUUUAUUCAUCUAAUAUGUUUUACCAGAAAUUUUAGCUAUUACCUUGGGUCCUUUGCACCAGUUUUUUUAAAAAGUUGGGUUGAAGAAUGAUGUCCAACCCUUUAAAAAGGAAAUCUCAACAUCUAUUUUGUCAAUCAUGCAUCACAAAGUUGCAACGAUAAUUAAGAAAAUCAAGAUGACUACCACCAAAGUAGUAAUGGGAUGCUUUACUAUUUCACCUUUAGGGAUAUCAACUUCUAUAAAUAUGUAAAUAUAGACUCUGCAUUUGCUAUUUCACAUUUUGCAAUAUCACCUUUUGUAAAUAUGUAAAUACAUAUAUAAACUGUGCAAUCAUAAGCGCAAUGCAUAUAGAAUGUGUGUAGUCGUUUACCAUGAAA
Solanum tuberosum (potato) is the source of this 1764-nucleotide long non-coding RNA. RefSeq lists it as uncharacterized. The record is from RefSeq and is a predicted model, not a curated record. The transcript has 4 exons. Lineage: Eukaryota; Viridiplantae; Streptophyta; Magnoliopsida; Solanales; Solanaceae.